UGAAUAAAGAUUGAUUAUUGAGCCUGGCUAACCGUACGCCAAACAAGAGGAUAUAAAGUAAAAGUUUUCUACACGCCAUAUGGAAAACUCCGUACCAAAGAAUAUAACUCCGUACGGUCCAGUUUGUCGUUCGUUUAGUCACGUCCUAAAUUAUUGGACCACUCAAUUAGUACUAAUUACAAUUACAUGCAGUAGUUUUGGCAACCAAAAGGGACCUUUAUACGUUGAGAAAUCAUUUUUGUGUUCAUUUUGAGAUAAAGGACAUUCCGCUGACGGCAACAAAGACUGAAAAUAGCUCACAAUCGAACAAAGCAACUCAUUUGCGUCAUACAUACCAAUACCUACCGAUAAUAUUCCAUAGGGAAAACCAAAGCCUUUGUUUCACAGGAUUUCCUCAUACCAUACGCUGAUAAGGCGCCCCAUAAAAUGCGCACCAGUUGAAAAUAAUGUUCUGCAGCUCCAGAAUCAUGUUCGGGAAGAUAUUGGUUGUCCUCGCAGCCCUGGUCAGGAUCUCAUAUAUCGGAGUGACACCAACGAGGCUGGUCGAAAGCUGCCCGAGCGACGUGCUGCCCCUUGAUGAUUGCGGAGAAAAUGAACAUUAUAACUAUAAAGUAUUUUGCGAACCUCAUUGCGGCGACCUAAUUUCUGUCCUCUGUUAUACAGUAGAAAUUAUUAUAUGUAAAAAAUAAAAUUACACACUAUCUUCGUAUUAUUUCGAUAAUAAAGCAUGACGCUAAUCAUUAUAUCUUGUAUUUUAGAUCAAGACGGAUGGCUGCGUGUGUAAAGAAGAAUACACACGCAACGUUGAUGGCAGUGCGUAAAAAUCGAGGACAGUCCUGUCAAGCAGCAACAGGAAACCGACAUAAUCUAUUUUUUCCGACGAAAAAAACGGAGGAGGUUCUCAAGUCGACGCGUAUAUAUGUAUCUGCUAUAUAUAUAUAUAUAUAUAUUUAUGACCACGCAUAACUUUUUACAGAGUAGUUCGAUUUUGAUAAUUAUUUUUUUAUUGGAAAGGGUAUCCUCCGACGUUGGUCCCAUAUAAAUUUGAAAAAUAAAAAAAAUUACCGCCGAAAAAAAAAGGCAAUAAAAAACCGGCACUAACACGGCGAAAACAAUAGCGCACUGAAAAGAAAAAAAUAAUAAUUUUGUCUUCAAUAACGCAAGUGAAUACCCCUACCCUACAAUUACAAUUAUAAUCUAUUUCUAUACACUUGAAUUGAAUUGAAUUACUUUAUUUUACCCACAACAUUUAAAUGUACACAGUUCUGUCAAUAAAGGAAUUUUAUCUUUAUCUUUUAUCUUUAUAAAGUAUGAACUAUAUACAUACUUCUGAAAUCAAUCACACAAAUCUGCGUUAUUGAAGACAAAAUUAUUAUUUUUUUCUUUUCAGUGCGCUAUUGUUUUUUUUGUUGGUCGAUUCGUUUCGUGUUAGUGCCGGUUUUUUUAUUGCCUUUUAGUUUUUUUCGGCGGUAAAAUUUUUUUGUUGAAAAGUUUUUAUUGAUUUCAUAAACUCUAAAGAUCGCUAUCACUACAGCAGUAGGAUCAAUGUUUUGUUUGAAGUGUUCGUCAUGUAUUAAUUAUGUACCCCAAAAUAAACCCGCGUCAAAAUCAAAAGGUUCAGUAAGGAGAUUUCCUAAAAAAAAAAACAAGCCCUUAUUUUUCAGGCGGUUACUCCAGUGGAGCCUUGUAAGUUGCAAACCAUCAAAAUGUAAAUAGACAAUCAUGAUUCGUUGCGUUUUGAGUUGACAUUUAGAAAUUGCGACAUGGCCGAAGUAAUCUCUCGCAGUGUUGACUUUGUUAUUCGAAUUGACAGCCGAAAAAUGGCCAACAGAAUCAACAAAAAAAUUUUAAACCAAAACUUAUAUUGCUCAUUUAAAUAUUAAUGUAGCAAUGAAUACUCAUUGAAGUGGAAGUAACACAAAUUAACUUUUCGGCAUUUCCGCGUCGUCGCUUAUUAUUUUUGUUUGUUAUCAUCUUUGAGUUAUUUUUUUGAUAAAAAAAAAUCAUAAAUCUCUGUUACCCCAGCCCCACGGAAAAUUUCAUAUAAAAAGCGGCGAUCGCUUCAUGAAUUCAUUUUCCUUUUGGACUUUACAGACUUUAACCCUUACGUCGGAUGUAAGCUGUCAAUUUUCCUUACUUGUGAUAAGGAAUUGCUGUCGUUGUCCACAGACGAUACCCAGAAAAAUGUUUGCGUUCAUAAACGUUAUCCUGAUUUCCACUGCAGCGGCUGCCACAGUAUUUGCGAUGCCGCCGUACAUCAUCAAGGCGGCACUAAUUAUCAAACCGCAGAAGCUCACCACUUGCCUGCCGUUGGGAAAGCCAGUAAGUGAAUUGACUAACCGAUUGAAGUGCUGGAUCGAGUGUAACGUAUUUCUUUGUCUCCAGUGCAUCAACUCGAAGGACCCCUGCUGCGCGCUGGUUUACAAGACCUACCUAGGCCUGGGCACAGUGUCAACCACGUGAUUCCAAUUCGGGAAGAGCGUCUGCCAGGUGGACUAGAGCAUCGAAAACUUCGACGUCUACAGCAAGCUGAUCCAGCAGCUGAACAGCACAAACUUCCAGGAGCUGAUGAACAAGUACUGGAGUACUAUUCCUGUUUCGUACUUUUGCCCGCCGGCAACGGCAAAAACUGGUUGUCGAAUUGAACAGCGGGUGAAUCGUCUAUCAAGUAUCAACUACCUAUUUGCGAGCAUAAGAUUUGGGCGGAGUCUGAAACGUCUAAGAUGUGUUUAUUUUUGUAACUUCUGAACUCGAAAUUAAUCGCAAUUAGUCGUAAUGAUGUAUGUUUAAGAUAACAAUAGGAUGAUUUGUAGCUUUCAAGAGAAAUAAAACAAUUUUUUUCAUACUC
Cydia pomonella (codling moth) is the source of this 2848-nucleotide long non-coding RNA. RefSeq lists it as uncharacterized. The record is from RefSeq and is a predicted model, not a curated record. The transcript has 2 exons. Lineage: Eukaryota; Metazoa; Arthropoda; Insecta; Lepidoptera; Tortricidae.